GCUGGGCAUGGUGGCACGUGCCUGUAAUCCCAGCUACUUGGGAGGCUGAGGCAGGAGAAUUGCUUGAACCCUGGAGGCAGAAGCUGCAGUGAGCUGAGAUUGCGCCACUGCACUCCAGCCUGGGUGACAGAGCUAGACUCCAUCUCAAAAAACAACAACAACAAACAAGACGGAGUCUCGCUCUGUGGCCCAGGCUGGAGUGCAGUGGCGUGAUCUCGGCUCACUGCAAACUCUGCCUUCCAGGUUCACGCCAUUCUCCUGCCUCAU
This is an unclassified non-coding RNA of Macaca fascicularis (crab-eating macaque), 267 nucleotides long. It matches the Rfam family "Metazoan signal recognition particle RNA". From Rfam's summary of the family: The signal recognition particle (SRP) is a universally conserved ribonucleoprotein. It is involved in the co-translational targeting of proteins to membranes. NCBI's taxonomy places the organism in Eukaryota, Metazoa, Chordata, Mammalia, Primates, Cercopithecidae. The record is from Ensembl.